UACGGAAGGCAGCAGUGGGGAAUAUUGCACAAUGGGCGAAAGCCUGAUGCAGCUAUGCCGCGUGUAUGAAGAAGGCCUUAGGGUUGUAAAGUACUUUCAUCGGGGAGGAAAAAACAAAACUAAUAAUUUUAUUUCUUGACGUUACCCGAAAAAGAAGCACCGGCUAACUCCGUGCCAGCAGCCGCGGUAAUACGGAGGGUGCUAGCGUUAAUCAGAAUUACUGGGCGUAAAGAGCACGUAGGUGGUUUUUUUAAAGUCAGAUGUGAAAUCCCUGGGCUUAACCUAGGAACUGCAUUUUGAAACUGAAAUACUAGAGUAUCGUAGAGGGAGGUAGAAUUCUAGGUGUAGCGGUGAAAUGCGUAGAUAUCUGGAGGAAAUACCUGUGGCGAAAGCGGCCUCCUAAACGAAUACUGACACUGAGGUGCGAAAAGCGUGGGGAGCAAAACAGGGAUUAGAUACC
RNAcentral lists this ribosomal RNA (460 nucleotides) under uncultured bacterium. RNAcentral's name for it is "bacterial SSU rRNA". It matches the Rfam family "Bacterial small subunit ribosomal RNA", at positions 340 to 786 of the family's 1533-position model. The record is from RNAcentral.